RNAcentral lists this ribosomal RNA (1610 nucleotides) under metagenome. Its description in RNAcentral is "bacterial LSU rRNA". It matches the Rfam family "Bacterial large subunit ribosomal RNA", at positions 1335 to 2925 of the family's 2925-position model. The record is from RNAcentral.
CGCCGAAAGACCAAGGGUUCCUGCGCAACGUUAAUCGACGCAGGGUUAGUCGGUUCCUAAGGCGAGGCUGAAAAGCGUAGUCGAUGGGAAACAGGUUAAUAUUCCUGUACUUCUGGUUACUGCGAUGGAGGGACGGAGAAGGCUAGGCCAGCUUGGCGUUGGUUGUCCAAGUUUAAGGUGGUAGGCUGAAAUCUUAGGUAAAUCCGGGGUUUCAAGGCCGAGAGCUGAUGACGAGUCGUCUUUUAGAUGACGAAGUGGUUGAUGCCAUGCUUCCAAGAAAAGCUUCUAAGCUUCAGGUAACCAGGAACCGUACCCCAAACCGACACAGGUGGUCGGGUAGAGAAUACCAAGGCGCUUGAGAGAACUCGGGUGAAGGAACUAGGCAAAAUGGCACCGUAACUUCGGGAGAAGGUGCGCCGGCUAGGGUGAAGGAUUUACUCCGUAAGCUCUGGCUGGUCGAAGAUACCAGGCCGCUGCGACUGUUUAUUAAAAACACAGCACUCUGCAAACACGAAAGUGGACGUAUAGGGUGUGACGCCUGCCCGGUGCCGGAAGGUUAAUUGAUGGGGUUAGCGCAAGCGAAGCUCUUGAUCGAAGCCCCGGUAAACGGCGGCCGUAACAAUAACGGUCCUAAGGUAGCGAAAUUCCUUGUCGGGUAAGUUCCGACCUGCACGAAUGGCGUAACGAUGGCGGCUCUGUCUCCACCCGAGACUCAGUGAAAUUGAAAUCGCUGUGAAGAUGCAGUGUAUCCGCGGCUAGACGGAAAGACCCCGUGAACCUUUACUGUAGCUUUGCACUGGACUUUGAGCCUGCUUGUGUAGGAUAGGUGGGAGGCUUUGAAGCGUGGACGCCAGUUCGCGUGGAGCCAUCCUUGAAAUACCACCCUGGCAUGCUUGAGGUUCUAACUCUGGUCCGUAAUCCGGAUCGAGGACAGUGUAUGGUGGGCAGUUUGACUGGGGCGGUCUCCUCCUAAAGAGUAACGGAGGAGUACGAAGGUGCGCUCAGACCGGUCGGAAAUCGGUCGCAGAGUAUAAAGGCAAAAGCGCGCUUGACUGCGAGACAGACACGUCGAGCAGGUACGAAAGUAGGUCUUAGCGAUCCGGUGGUUCUGUAUGGAAGGGCCAUCGCUCAACGGAUAAAAGGUACUCCGGGGAUAACAGGCUGAUACCGCCCAAGAGUUCAUAUCGACGGCGGUGUUUGGCACCUCGAUGUCGGCUCAUCACAUCCUGGGGCUGAAGCCGGUCCCAAGGGUAUGGCUGUUCGCCAUUUAAAGUGGUACGCGAGCUGGGUUUAGAACGUCGUGAGACAGUUCGGUCCCUAUCUGCCGUGGACGUUUGAGAUUUGAGAGGGGCUGCUCCUAGUACGAGAGGACCGGAGUGGACGAACCUCUGGUGUUCCGGUUGUCACGCCAGUGGCAUUGCCGGGUAGCUAUGUUCGGAAAAGAUAACCGCUGAAAGCAUCUAAGCGGGAAACUUGCCUCAAGAUGAGAUCUCACUGGGAACUUGAUUCCCCUGAAGGACCGUCGAAGACUACGACGUUGAUAGGCUGGGUGUGUAAGCGUUGUGAGGCGUUGAGCUAACCAGUACUAAUUGCCCGUGAGGCUUGACCAA